RNAcentral lists this ribosomal RNA (893 nucleotides) under uncultured archaeon. Its description in RNAcentral is "bacterial SSU rRNA". It matches the Rfam family "Archaeal small subunit ribosomal RNA", at positions 23 to 903 of the family's 1478-position model. The record is from RNAcentral.
GCUACUGCCAUCAGAGUUCGAUUAAGCCAUGUUAGUCGAGGGUACCUCUUCUUCUUCGGAGGAUGAGGUAACCCGGCGGACGGCUCAGUAACACGUGGAUAACUUGCCCUUGGGUCUGGGAUAACCCCUGGGAAACUGGGGCUAAUACCGGAUAGAGCAUCAAUCGCUGGAAUGCAUGAUGCUCGAAAACUACGGUGCCCAAGGAUAGGUCUGCGGCUGAUUAGGUUGUUGUUGAUGUAAUGGACCAACAAGCCUACGAUCGGUACGGGUUGUGAGAGCAAUAGCCCGGAGAUGGGUUCUGAGAAAAGAACCCAGGUCCUACGGGACGCAUCAGGCGCGAAAACUUUACAAUGUGCGAAAGCACGAUAAGGGAACUCUGAGUGCCCCCUAAGGGGGCUGUUCUAGUGUCUAAAAAGCAAUAGAAGUAAGGGCUGGGCAAGACCGGUGCCAGCCGCCGCGGUAACACCGGCAGCCCAAGUGGUAGCCACGUUUAUUGGGUCUAAAGCGUUCGUAGCCGGCUUGGUAAGUUCCUUGGUAAAUUUAGCCGCUUAACGGUUAAGCUUUCAGGGGAUACUGCUUGGCUUGGGACUGGGAGAGGUCAGAGGUACUCCAGGGGUAGGGGUGAAAUCCAUUAAUCCUUGGGGGACCACCGGUAGCGAAGGCGUCUGACCAGACCAGCUCCGACGGUGAGGGACGAAGGCUAGGGGCGCGAACCGGAUUAGAUACCCGGGUAGUCCUGGCCGUAAACGAUGCAUACUAGGUGAUGGUACGGCCAUGAGCCGUAUCAGUGCCGUAGGGAAACCGUUAAGUGUGCCGCCUGGGAAGUACGGUCGCAAGGCUAAAACUUAAAGGAAUUGGCGGGGGAGCACCACAAGGGGUGAAGCCUGCGGUUC